UACGUAGGGUGCGAGCGUUAAUCGGAAUUACUGGGCGUAAAGCGUGCGCAGGCGGUGAUGUAAGACCGAUGUGAAAUCCCCGGGCUUAACCUGGGAACUGCAUUGGUGACUGCAUUGCUGGAGUGUGGCAGAGGGGGGUGGAAUUCCGCGUGUAGCAGUGAAAUGCGUAGAGAUGCGGAGGAACACCGAUGGCGAAGGCAGCCCCCUGGGCUAACACUGACGCCUCAGGCACGAAAGCGUGGGGAGCAAACAGG
This 254-nucleotide ribosomal RNA is filed under the name uncultured bacterium. Its description in RNAcentral is "partial 16S ribosomal RNA". It matches the Rfam family "Bacterial small subunit ribosomal RNA", at positions 524 to 776 of the family's 1533-position model. The record is from RNAcentral.